This 301-nucleotide ribosomal RNA is filed under the name uncultured bacterium. Its description in RNAcentral is "partial 16S ribosomal RNA". It matches the Rfam family "Bacterial small subunit ribosomal RNA", at positions 509 to 807 of the family's 1533-position model. The record is from RNAcentral.
CAGUCGCCGCGGGAAUACAGAGGGUGCGAGCGUUAAUCGGAUUUACUGGGCGUAAAGCGUGCGUAGGCGGCUUUUUAAGUCGGAUGUGAAAUCCCUGAGCUUAACUUAGGAAUUGCAUUCGAUACUGGGAAGCUAGAGUAUGGGAGAGGAUGGUAGAAUUCCAGGUGUAGCGGUGAAAUGCGUAGAGAUCUGGAGGAAUACCGAUGGCGAAGGCAGCCAUCUGGCCUAAUACUGACGCUCAGGUGCGAAAGCGUGGGGAGCAAACAGGAUUAGAUACCCCCGUAGUCCCUGUCUCUUAUAC